This 1310-nucleotide long non-coding RNA is filed under the name Monodelphis domestica (gray short-tailed opossum). RNAcentral's name for it is "lncRNA (ENSMODG00000038973.1)". Lineage: Eukaryota; Metazoa; Chordata; Mammalia; Didelphimorphia; Didelphidae. The record is from RNAcentral.
AAGAGAAGGGUAUUAUUUAUAGUAGGAACAUUUUUUUAAAUGACUGUCUUGUUGACUUCCCAGUGGUAUAAUUUUUGUGGAUAGUGGUGUCCCUUUAUAAUGCUAAGGUUGAAGUCACCAGUCUAUUUAUAGAAGGAAGGAGGUAGUGAUAGAUGGAGGGGAAUUGGCCCAACAGUGUCUACGUUAUAUUUCCUGGGCAAUCUUCUGCUUCUGGGAAGUGCCGAUAUACUGAUGCCCAUGACUCUCAACCCUCCCUAAUAGGAAGGAGUUCAUCUGGAUCUGUGUAAUAAUGGGACCACAGGAAUAGAGCCACAAUGAAACUAGUUCAAUCCCAUCAUUUUACAGCUUUUCCAGAAGAUCCUGAAGAAAGUGAAUUUUCACCAGGAUGCCCCAAAUCCAAACCUAAGGUCUAUCAGAGGCACCUUGAAAAACUGGCAAUAGGAUCCAUCUACCCAUCCAGUUUUUCCUCUGGAUGUGGAUGGUGUAGAACUCAGAUAUUUUUAAUCCAAGAUAAUACUUUUUAAACUAGAUCACAUUAACUAUACAUUUUAUUUAUAAAUUUUAGAAAAGUAAAAUCGAGUGACAAUUAUGCCUCAAUGGUGAUUUUUCUUGUCACCAUCCUACAUUUCUUCUUCCACAACUACAUUCAUAAUUACUUGGAUACCUAUCUUUAUUUAUUUGGGGCCUUGGUCUUGGUUAGGGACUGUAAUCACCCUCAAGUAUCACUUGCCAUAAACAUACAUAUAUCAUUUUUCAUUCAAAUAUAUGCUCAAAUAAUUUUUAAGGUGAACAUAUAUUGAAUACCCAAUUAUAUUUAUUUUUAUUCAUCAGACUAGAGAAACUAAAAUUUAACUAAAUUUAUUUUAAUCAAUUUAAAAAUUGAGACACAUAUAUACAUAUGUCCUUUUUGGAGACAUUAAAGUAUACCCGGAAACAUAUUCAUAUUGCAUAGGUGGGAUGUAUGGGGUGCUCAGGGAGGAGUAAUACCUUUGCUAUGGAGGGCUUGUCGUGCCCUCCUAGGGCAGCUCUCCAGCCUUUGACCCUCACCUGACACCCAGCUCUCACUUGUGGCUUCUAGUAGCUGCUACCAUGCGGCAGCAGCCACACCCCGGGCAACGGCUUCGACAGGCCGGCUAAACCUUGUGAGGGUAGCCAUCAGGUCGUCGACCCCUGGUGAACUAGGGCUUUGCUCACCCAGCAUGUGAAGACUGUUUCGGCGGAACAGGCAGAAGAAACCAACAAGAAGGUUCAACGGCUGAGAUGGCGAUGCAGCAAGGCACUGUGGAGUGCUUAGGGCGUGUUGGAGCACA